UACGAAGGGCCCGAGCGUUGCGCGGUAUCAUUGGGCUUAAAGAGUGCGUAGGCGGAGCUGCAAGUAUCUUGUGAAAUCCCCCGGCUCAACCGGGGAAUUGCUCGGUAGACUGCGGUUCUUGAGAUCGGUAGGGGCAAUCGGAACAAUAGGUGUAGCGGUGAAAUGCGUAGAUAUCUAUUGGAACGCCAAAGGCGAAGGCAGAUUGCUGGGCCGAUUCUGACGCUGAGGCACGAAAGCGUGGGUAGCAGACAGG
Molecule: unclassified non-coding RNA, 253 nt
Filed under: uncultured Phycisphaeraceae bacterium
Lineage: Bacteria; Pseudomonadati; Planctomycetota; Phycisphaerae; Phycisphaerales; Phycisphaeraceae
Description: contains 16S-23S intergenic spacer region
Rfam family: Bacterial small subunit ribosomal RNA
Source: RNAcentral